AGGAAAACCCCACUCUACCAGCUCUACCUUGAUGCAAGAGAGGAGGCUCUCACUGAUGACCUACCAGAUCUUGACACAAGGGCUGCACUUUUAUUCCUGCCAUACGUCUUCAAGGAGAAACUGGAUCUCUUUGUCAUACUUGGAGAGGUUCAUCCUAAAACCCC
Long non-coding RNA from Oreochromis aureus, 164 nucleotides. RefSeq lists it as uncharacterized. The transcript has 3 exons. NCBI's taxonomy places the organism in Eukaryota, Metazoa, Chordata, Actinopteri, Cichliformes, Cichlidae. The record is from RefSeq and is a predicted model, not a curated record.